RNAcentral lists this transfer RNA (67 nucleotides) under Andrena labiata. RNAcentral describes it as "tRNA-Trp". Lineage: Eukaryota; Metazoa; Arthropoda; Insecta; Hymenoptera; Andrenidae. The record is from RNAcentral.
AAAAUUUUAAGUUAAAAAAACUCUUAAUAUUCAAAAUUAAUAAUAUAUUUUUGUAAUAUAAAUUUUA